This is a long non-coding RNA of Ostrea edulis (European flat oyster), 1697 nucleotides long. RefSeq lists it as uncharacterized. The record is from RefSeq and is a predicted model, not a curated record. The transcript is spliced from 2 exons. Lineage: Eukaryota; Metazoa; Mollusca; Bivalvia; Ostreida; Ostreidae.
GACUAAGUAAAUCUUUUUUUUUUUUUGUCAGACAUUGAACAUUUAUCCAUGAACAUUGUAAAUACGUUUUUCAUUUUAAAUUCUUUUUUAAAGGAUGUUUUGAUCGGUAACUAACUUAUAAAACUGCAUGCAUACGAUAACAUAAGUGCACUGUACAAAACACAUAUCAUGGUACAUUGUAUAUUAACAACAUUCAACAAAUCCUUUAGUUCACCUCUCUUUGAAAAUCAAGAUCCGCACCUGAUAUUAUGAUCGAGAUCAAUCAAAAAUUAUUCAAUUUCAUAUAUUUCAACACUUCUUUUUUUUUUUCAAAUUCUUUUUCUUCCAUUUUUUUGUUGUUGUUGUUGUUGAUUUUUUAUUACAGCAAUUACAUUUUCAAAACAAACAGCACAGCAAAUACAAUAUGCGCAUUUAUUUCAGACAAUAUCGAACAUGCGAUUACAUUUAAUUUAGAUUUUCUUUUAUUUUUCAUUCCACCAAACACUUAGAAUAAUUUAUGUAAUUUCCUAUUAUGUUUUCUGUAUUUUCAAAUUCAGAAAAAUAUGUCCAUUCACAAAAAUACGAUGCGUGUGAUGAAAAAAUAAACUGAUGAAGUUAGAUUUUUGUGCGAUUUACUGAAGUAGGGCAUUUCACCCUUCUUGGACCUCUAGGUGUUUUACAAAAUGAAAUGACGCAUGCGCUGAAGUCAUUGUUUAUCAUGGAGGCGAAUUUGAUAGCGAAAGGAUGUAGUGUUUGAAAUGACGACGAUUAUCGUUGCUUUAGUGUGGAAUUGAAUGGUUUUAAUUGUAUUCCCUUGCGGAAAAAUCAUUCAUGAAUUGAUUUAUAGACCUGGUUUAUACGACGUAAAUGGCGCCAGUGGGCCAAGCUUCUUGAUGCUGAUAAAGACGGCGUCAUCAGUGAAGACGACAUGAAGAAAACUAGCUGCAAUAAUGAAGCCCUCUCUGAUUUUUUUUUUGAUUUUUUUUUUUUUUAGGGAGAGGGCUACAACUCCUUAGGAUCUCCGUAAUGGUGCAAAUGCGGGAGUGAAUCACUCCCGUAACAUUUGCGCUCAUUCUAAACAUUUCCUGACUUUCUUUACGUAAAUAAAAUGAUAUUCCAUGUUUCUUAGUCAAUAUAUAAAUUUACAACCUGCAACUUAGAUUUGUGAGGCUCUAUUCUACCGUUUUCAACAAUUUCGAUAAAUUCCAAUUGCUCGAUUCAUAUUUGUGCGCCAUGUUUGAUGUACUGAAGUUUCAACUUCCGAUUGUCAAGUCAUUUGCAUAUGCCAUAUAAGGUAGUAUUUACAUCAAUGGACAAGUAUGGAGGCGAAAGCUAUUUCGUCGGUAUUGAAAGGGUUUGAAUUUAAUAUCAAGUUAAAAACCGAACAGCAGAGUGUAAAUUCUUUCUGCAACAAUAUGAUUUUCCUUUCUUUGUCGAAGUGGCUCGAGUAACUACAUUUUCGCGCUGAUUGUCAAUGGUUAGGUUUUUCAUUAGAUCCACCUACGAGAUCUCGCGAUAACAAGCAUGGCGGAGCAGACGAAGAAUUUUGCAUGCUGUACAUUAUCUUUAAUGAAAAACACCUUUAUUAGACAUGCCCGAGCACAAAGUUGGUACUCCUUUUGGUGUAAACAACAUUUGGGACUAAUACACAGAGUUUAUUAUCGGUUAUUCAUAAAAUUAUUUUGCACCAUUACGGAGAUCCUAUGGAAUUGUAGCCC